This 311-nucleotide long non-coding RNA is filed under the name Cicer arietinum (chickpea). RNAcentral describes it as "long non-coding RNA (CARI_LNC002227)". The record is from RNAcentral. Lineage: Eukaryota; Viridiplantae; Streptophyta; Magnoliopsida; Fabales; Fabaceae.
AAGAUUAGUAGUGGGUAUAAAGCGAGAACCCUAAUAAGAGAGAUGGCGCGUGGUAAGCGACGGUAAAUGAUAAAGAAAUUCCCGCUUAAGUGAAAGAUUAAAAGAGAUAAAUGAAUAUUAAAAAAGAUUCGUCCUCCCUCCAAGUUGCAAUCUGAAAGACGUAAACCCCUCCCAAACCCAUUUUGGAUCCAAAAAAACGCUCGCUUCCACAACAUUUCAAAUUUCUGGCCCGCCACAUACACACACUCCCUCCCUCCCUCUCUACUUAUAAUCUUAAAUCAAUUCUUAACGGCUCUGUCGUUUUCCCUANN